CCUACGGGUGGCAGCAGUGAGGAAUAUUGGUCAAUGGACGAGAGUCUGAACCAGCCAAGUAGCGUGAAGGAUGACUGCCCUAUGGGUUGUAAACUUCUUUUAUAUGGAAAUAAAAUGUUCCACGUGUGGGAUUUUGUAUGUACAAUAUGAAGAAGGCACGGGUAACUCCGUGCCAGCAGCCGCGGUAAUACGGAGGAUCCGGGCGUUAUCCGGAUUUAUUGGGUUUAAAGGGAGCGUAGAUGGAUGGUUAAGUCAGUUGUGAAAGUUUGCGGCUCAACCGUAAAAUUGCAGUUGAAACUGGCAGUCUUGAGUACAGUAGAGGUGAGCGGAAUGCGUGGUGUAGCGGUGAAAUGCUUAGAUAUCACGAAGAACUCCGAUUGCGAAGGCAGUUCACUGGACUGCAACUGACACUGAGGCUCGAAAGUGUGGGUAUCAAACAGGAUUAGAUACCCGUGUAGUC
Molecule: ribosomal RNA, 460 nt
Filed under: uncultured bacterium
Lineage: Bacteria
Description: partial 16S ribosomal RNA
Rfam family: Bacterial small subunit ribosomal RNA
Source: RNAcentral